This 447-nucleotide ribosomal RNA is filed under the name uncultured bacterium. RNAcentral describes it as "SSU rRNA". It matches the Rfam family "Bacterial small subunit ribosomal RNA", at positions 26 to 518 of the family's 1533-position model. The record is from RNAcentral.
AGAGCGAACGCUGGCGGCAGGCUUAACACAUGCAAGUCGAGCGGGCGUAGCAAUACGUCAGCGGCAGACGGGUGAGUAACGCGUGGGAACGUACCUUUUGGUUCGGAACAACACAGGGAAACUUGUGCUAAUACCGGAUAAGCCCUUACGGGGAAAGAUUUAUCGCCGAAAGAUCGGCCCGCGUCUGAUUAGCUAGUUGGUGAGGUAAUGGCUCACCAAGGCGACGAUCAGUAGCUGGUCUGAGAGGAUGAUCAGCCACAUUGGGACUGAGACACGGCCCAAACUCCUACGGGAGGCAGCAGUGGGGAAUAUUGGACAAUGGGCGCAAGCCUGAUCCAGCCAUGCCGCGUGAGUGAUGAAGGCCCUAGGGUUGUAAAGCUCUUUGUGCGGGAAGAUAAUGACGGUACCGCAAGAAUAAGCCCCGGCUAACUUCGCGCCAGCAGCCGC